Molecule: small RNA, 185 nt
Filed under: Streptomyces albireticuli
Lineage: Bacteria; Bacillati; Actinomycetota; Actinomycetes; Kitasatosporales; Streptomycetaceae
Description: c-di-AMP sequence
Rfam family: c-di-AMP riboswitch aptamer (ydaO/yuaA leader)
About the family: This family represents a conserved RNA structure found upstream of the ydaO and yuaA genes in Bacillus subtilis and related genes in other bacteria. The ydaO/yuaA element is thought to act as a genetic "off" switch for the ydaO and yuaA genes in its native state.
Source: Rfam by way of RNAcentral
UCGCGUUAAGCGCCGUAGGCAGGAGCGGGGGAACCAAGGUAGGCGCCGGAACGGAUUCCGUCGGUCGGUGACCGGGGGAGGCCGGAACGGCUUGGGGUGAAGCCGGGAGUGCUCGCACGACCGGCCGGGCGAACUCACUAGCCCGAACCCGACAGCUCACCUCGUAGGCGUCGGUGAGGAAACGA